RNAcentral lists this ribosomal RNA (441 nucleotides) under uncultured bacterium. RNAcentral describes it as "partial 16S ribosomal RNA". It matches the Rfam family "Bacterial small subunit ribosomal RNA", at positions 338 to 795 of the family's 1533-position model. The record is from RNAcentral.
CCUACGGGAGGCUGCAGUGGGGAAUAUUGCACAAUGGGGGAAACCCUGAUGCAGCGACGCCGCGUGAGUGAAGAAGUAUUUCGGUAUGUAAAGCUCUAUCAGCAGGGAAGAAGAAAGACGGUACCUGACUAAGAAGCCCCGGCUAACUACGUGCCAGCAGCCGCGGUAAUACGUAGGGGGCAAGCGUUAUCCGGAUUUACUGGGUGGAAAGGGAGCGUAGACGGCUGUGCAAGUCUGAAGUGAAAGCCCAGGGCUCAACCCUGGGACUGCUUUGGAAACUGUGGAGCUAGAGUGCUGGAGAGGUAAGUGGAAUUCCUAGUGUAGCGGUGAAAUGCGUAGAUAUUAGGAGGAACACCAGUGGCGAAGGCGGCUUACUGGACAGUAACUGACGUUGAGGCUCGAAAGCGUGGGGAGCAAACAGGAUUAGAUACCCUGGUAGUC